RNAcentral lists this ribosomal RNA (274 nucleotides) under uncultured bacterium. RNAcentral describes it as "partial 16S ribosomal RNA". It matches the Rfam family "Bacterial small subunit ribosomal RNA", at positions 523 to 796 of the family's 1533-position model. The record is from RNAcentral.
AUACGGAGGGUGCAAGCGUUGUCCGGAUUUAUUGGGUUUAAAGGGUGCGUAGGCGGCCAAUUAAGUCAGUGGUGAAAUGUAUCAGCUUAACUGAUGAGGUGCCAUUGAAACUGAUUGGCUUGAGUACAGACGAGGUAGGCGGAAUUUAUGGUGUAGCGGUGAAAUGCAUAGAUACCAUAAAGAACACCGAUAGCGAAGGCAGCUUACUAGACUGUUACUGACGCUGAGGCACGAAAGCGUGGGGAGCGAACAGGAUUAGAAACCCCAGUAGUCC